This 468-nucleotide ribosomal RNA is filed under the name uncultured bacterium. RNAcentral describes it as "partial 16S ribosomal RNA". It matches the Rfam family "Bacterial small subunit ribosomal RNA", at positions 28 to 507 of the family's 1533-position model. The record is from RNAcentral.
GACGAACGCUGGCGGCGUGCUUAACACAUGCAAGUCGAACGGAAAGGCCCUGCUUUUGUGGGGUGCUCGAGUGGCGAACGGGUGAGUAACACGUGAGUAACCUGCCCUUGACUUUGGGAUAACUUCAGGAAACUGGGGCUAAUACCGGAUAGGAGCUCCUGCUGCAUGGUGGGGGUUGGAAAGUUCCGGCGGUUGGGGAUGGACUCGCGGCUUAUCAGCUUGUUGGUGGGGUAGUGGCUUACCAAGGCUUUGACGGGUAGCCGGCCUGAGAGGGUGACCGGCCACAUUGGGACUGAGGUACGGCCCAGACUCCUACGGGAGGCAGCAGUGGGGAAUAUUGCACAAUGGGCGGAAGCCUGAUGCAGCAACGCCGCGUGCGGGAUGACGGCCUUCGGGUUGUAAACCGCUUUCGCCUGUGACGAAGCGUGAGUGACGGUAAUGGGUAAAGAAGCACCGGCUAACUACGUG